This 451-nucleotide ribosomal RNA is filed under the name Streptomyces flavogriseus. Its description in RNAcentral is "partial 16S ribosomal RNA". The record is from RNAcentral. Lineage: Bacteria; Bacillati; Actinomycetota; Actinomycetes; Kitasatosporales; Streptomycetaceae.
GUCAUUUCGCUUCUUCCCUGCUGAAAGAGGUUUACAACCCGAAGGCCGUCAUCCCUCACGCGGCGUCGCUGCAUCAGGCUUUCGCCCAUUGUGCAAUAUUCCCCACUGCUGCCUCCCGUAGGAGUCUGGGCCGUGUCUCAGUCCCAGUGUGGCCGGUCGCCCUCUCAGGCCGGCUACCCGUCGUCGCCUUGGUAGGCCAUUACCCCACCAACAAGCUGAUAGGCCGCGGGCUCAUCCUUCACCGCCGGAGCUUUUAACCCCGUCCCAUGCGGGACAGAGUGUUAUCCGGUAUUAGACCCCGUUUCCAGGGCUUGUCCCAGAGUGAAGGGCAGAUUGCCCACGUGUUACUCACCCGUUCGCCACUAAUCCACCCCGAAAGGCUUCAUCGUUCGACUUGCAUGUGUUAAGCACGCCGCCAGCGUUCGUCCUGAGCCAGGAUUCAAACUCUAAA